GCAUUGGUGGUAUAGUGGCAGCAUGGCUUGCUUUCCAAGCAGUUGACCUGGAUUCAAUUCCCGACCAAUGCA
RNAcentral lists this transfer RNA (72 nucleotides) under Oryzias latipes (Japanese medaka). It matches the Rfam family "tRNA". Rfam says of the family: Transfer RNA (tRNA) molecules are approximately 80 nucleotides in length. Their secondary structure includes four short double-helical elements and three loops (D, anti-codon, and T loops). Lineage: Eukaryota; Metazoa; Chordata; Actinopteri; Beloniformes; Adrianichthyidae. The record is from Rfam by way of RNAcentral.